CAGCGUGCAGGGCUCUCGGCCCCGCCGCCCCCCACAGGGGUCCCCGGGCCUCGGGGUCCCCGGGCCUCACGGCCCCACUCCCAGGGACCAGCGCCGAGAAACGCCGGGGGGACGGCCGCACCCCCCCCAGCCCCUCACCCACCACGACAACCGGCGGAGGACGCAGCCCGCUCAGCCGCUAACGGGAAGGAGAUCAGGGCCUGCUCCCUCACCCCCUCCAGCCAGGCUACUCCCUGGGCCACGCCGUGCCCCCGGGCCUGGCCGCCUCAUAGCUGCCGGGCCAGGCCGGAUGGGCCGCCCCAACUCACCCGCUCCAGCGCCGGCCGCGCUCCCUUUGUUCCCCACCAGGCCGGGGCGGCGGCGAGGACGGCGCCUGCGCGCCCUGUUCCGCACUUUCGACACGUCGCCCCCGCCCUGCCGGCAGCUGGUUUCUCUUUUCGGGGGAAGGCGGCUCGCCCGCCCCGCUGCCCCUCGGGCCCCCGCUGGGCAGGGGCCUUCCCCGUAGCCUCCGGGGCCGGUGGGGCUGGAAGGGCUUGUGGCGAAUCUGCGGGAUGCUGGGGGCAAAGGCGAUCCGGGCGCGGGGUGCGGCCCCCGUCGUUACCGGGAAGGCGGUACCGCCUCACCCGGGCGGGGCGUCUUACCGGUGGUCCCGAGGCACGGGGCGGGCUCUGCCGCAGGCUCGCGGUCUCCAGCACCGCGCUUGUCCCCUUCGCGACAGUCAGGGGAAGGCGCGGGCGGGAAGCUGCCCCCCUUCACGUUCUUGUCAGCUCAGCCGAGCCACCUCCCCGCGGGGCAGCCCCCCCAGUCCCCAUCCCCCCGGUGUUGGCGGGACCGGGAGAGGCGGCGGCGCCGUGUCCCGGUGGCGAAUCUGCGGCGCAGAGCGGGGAGGGGGGGGCGGCGGCGGCGCCUCACGCCCGCAGGUUUGGCGCCUUUUUCCCCUCAGAGGGAGCACGCGGCGCCCUGAGGCGCCCGGGCUGCACAGGGGCGGCUGGAGAAACGCUGCGGUGUAAUGUGCGACUAACCCCGUAA
RNAcentral lists this long non-coding RNA (1029 nucleotides) under Falco tinnunculus (common kestrel). RNAcentral's name for it is "lncRNA (ENSFTIG00000001192.1)". Lineage: Eukaryota; Metazoa; Chordata; Aves; Falconiformes; Falconidae. The record is from RNAcentral.